AGGGGUAUAGUUCUUCGGAGCUAGAGACCGGCGCACGGGUGCGUAACGCGUAUGCAAUCUACCUUUUACAGAGGGAUAGCCCAGAGAAAUUUGGAUUAAUACCUCAUAGUAUGUGAGAAUCGCAUGGUUUUCACAUUAAAGUUCCAACGGUAAAAGAUGAGCAUGCGUCCCAUUAGCUAGAUGGUAAGGUAACGGCUUACCAUGGCAACGAUGGGUAGGGGUCCUGAGAGGGAGAUCCCCCACACUGGUACUGAGACACGGACCAGACUCCUACGGGAGGCAGCAGUGAGGAAUAUUGGACAAUGGGCGCAAGCCUGAUCCAGCCAUGCCGCGUGCAGGAUGACGGUCCUAUGGAUUGUAAACUGCUUUUGUACAGGAAGAAACACUCCCUCGUGAGGGAGCUUGACGGUACUGUAAGAAUAAGGAUCGGCUAACUCCGUGCCAGCAGCCGCGGUAAUACGGAGGAUCCAAGCGUUAUCCGGAAUCAUUGGGUUUAAAGGGUCCGUAGGCGGUUUAAUAAGUCAGUGGUGAAAGCCCAUCGCUCAACGGUGGAACGGCCAUUGAUACUGUUAAACUUGAAUUAUUAGGAAGUAACUAGAAUAUGUAGUGUAGCGGUGAAAUGCUUAGAGAUUACAUGGAAUACCAAUUGCGAAGGCAGGUUACUACUAAUGGAUUGACGCUGAUGGACGAAAGCGUGGGUAGCGAACAGGAUUAGAUACCCUGGUAGUCCACGCCGUAAACGAUGGAUACUAGCUGUUGGGCGCAAGUUCAGUGGCUAAGCGAAAGUGAUAAGUAUCCCACCUGGGGAGUACGU
This 814-nucleotide ribosomal RNA is filed under the name uncultured Bacteroidota bacterium. RNAcentral describes it as "bacterial SSU rRNA". It matches the Rfam family "Bacterial small subunit ribosomal RNA", at positions 65 to 885 of the family's 1533-position model. The record is from RNAcentral. Lineage: Bacteria; Pseudomonadati; Bacteroidota.